RNAcentral lists this unclassified non-coding RNA (348 nucleotides) under soil metagenome. RNAcentral describes it as "partial contains 5.8S ribosomal RNA, internal transcribed spacer 2, and large subunit ribosomal RNA". The stretch from base 1 to 120 matches the Rfam family "5.8S ribosomal RNA", at positions 35 to 154 of the family's 154-position model. The record is from RNAcentral.
GAUGAAGAACGUAGCGAAAUGCGAUAAGUAAUGUGAAUUGCAGAAUUCAGUGAAUCAUCGAGUCUUUGAACGCACAUUGCGCCCCCUGGUAUUCCGGGGGGCAUGCCUGUCCGAGCGUCAUUGCUGCCCUCAAGCACGGCUUGUGUGUUGGGCCCCCGUCCCCGGUUUCCCCCGGGGACGGGCCCGAAAGGCAGCGGCGGCACCGCGUCCGGUCCUCGAGCGUAUGGGGCUUUGUCACCCGCUCUGUAGGCCCGGCAGGCGCCAGCCGACACCCAACUUUAUUUCUAAGGUUGACCUCGGAUCAGGUAGGGAUACCCGCUGAACUUAAGCAUAUCAAUAAGCGGAGGA